RNAcentral lists this ribosomal RNA (425 nucleotides) under uncultured bacterium. RNAcentral describes it as "bacterial SSU rRNA". It matches the Rfam family "Bacterial small subunit ribosomal RNA", at positions 356 to 771 of the family's 1533-position model. The record is from RNAcentral.
GGGGAAUCUUGCGCAAUGGCCGAAAGGCUGACGCAGCGACGCCGCGUGGGGGAGGAAGGUCUUCGGAUUGUAAACCCCUGUCACCGGGGAAGAAGUCCAGGGGGGAGGAAAUGCCCUUCUGGUUGACGGUACCCGGGGAGGAAGCACCGGCUAACUCUGUGCCAGCAGCCGCGGUAAUACGGAGGGUGCAAGCGUUAAUCGGAAUUACUGGGCGUAAAGCGCGCGUAGGCGGCUUUGUAAGUCGGAUGUGAAAGCCCUGGGCUUAACCUGGGAAUUGCAUUCGAUACUGCAUGGCUAGAGUAUGGUAGAGGGAAGUGGAAUUUCCGGUGUAGCGGUGAAAUGCGUAGAUAUCGGAAGGAACACCAGUGGCGAAGGCGACUUCCUGGGCCAAUACUGACGCUGAGGUGCGAAAGCGUGGGGAGCAA